RNAcentral lists this ribosomal RNA (741 nucleotides) under uncultured bacterium. RNAcentral describes it as "bacterial SSU rRNA". It matches the Rfam family "Bacterial small subunit ribosomal RNA", at positions 63 to 771 of the family's 1533-position model. The record is from RNAcentral.
CGAGCGAGCGGAACUAACAGAUUUACUUCGGUAAUGACGUUAGGAAAGCGAGCGGCGGAUGGGUGAGUAACACGUGGGGAACCUGCCCCAUAGUCUGGGAUACCACUUGGAAACAGGUGCUAAUACCGGAUAAGAAAGCAGAUCGCAUGAUCAGCUUUUAAAAGGCGGCGUAAGCUGUCGCUAUGGGAUGGCCCCGCGGUGCAUUAGCUAGUUGGUAAGGUAAAGGCUUACCAAGGCGAUGAUGCAUAGCCGAGUUGAGAGACUGAUCGGCCACAUUGGGACUGAGACACGGCCCAAACUCCUACGGGAGGCAGCAGUAGGGAAUCUUCCACAAUGGACGCAAGUCUGAUGGAGCAACGCCGCGUGAGUGAAGAAGGUUUUCGGAUCGUAAAGCUCUGUUGUUGGUGAAGAAGGAUAGAGGUAGUAACUGGCCUUUAUUUGACGGUAAUCAACCAGAAAGUCACGGCUAACUACGUGCCAGCAGCCGCGGUAAUACGUAGGUGGCAAGCGUUGUCCGAAUUUAUUGGGCGUAAAGCGAGCGCAGGCGGAAGAAUAAGUCUGAUGUGAAAGCCCUCGGCUUAACCGAGGAACUGCAUCGGAAACUGUUUUUCUUGAGUGCAGAAGAGGAGAGUGGAACUCCAUGUGUAGCGGUGGAAUGCGUAGAUAUAUGGAAGAACACCAGUGGCGAAGGCGGCUCUCUGGUCUGCAACUGACGCUGAGGCUCGAAAGCAUGGGUAGCGA